Molecule: ribosomal RNA, 302 nt
Filed under: uncultured bacterium
Lineage: Bacteria
Description: partial 16S ribosomal RNA
Rfam family: Archaeal small subunit ribosomal RNA
Source: RNAcentral
GCAGCAGCCGCGGUAAAACCAGCACCUCGAGUGGUCAGGAGGUUUAUUGGGCCUAAAGCAUCCGUAGCCGGUUGCAUAAGUUUUCGGUUAAAUCUAUGCGCUUAACGUAUAGGCCGCCGAAAAUACUGUGCAGCUAGGGAGUGGGGGAGGUACACGGUACUCAAUAGGGAGGGGUAAAAUCCUUUGAUCUGUUGAUGACCACCUGUGGCGAAGGCGGUGUACCAGAACACGUUCGACGGUGAGGGAUGAAAGCUGGGGGAGCAAACCGGAUUAGAUAUCCGAGUAGUCCCUGUCUCUUAUAC